This is a long non-coding RNA of Scylla paramamosain (green mud crab), 2452 nucleotides long. RefSeq lists it as uncharacterized. NCBI's taxonomy places the organism in Eukaryota, Metazoa, Arthropoda, Malacostraca, Decapoda, Portunidae. The transcript has 2 exons. The record is from RefSeq and is a predicted model, not a curated record.
UGUCUCUUUCCUGCGAUCAGAAAAAAUAAAAAAAUCGGCUCUAUAUGAUUGCUUUUAUUCAACUGACAAUAUCACAAAUCUUGGAAGACCAGCUAUUUACCUCUAAAUAGCAUAAACUUCAAGGAGCGAGUGGUUAAGGCUGUUACGGUCUCUGUGAGGGAUACAUCGCCAAUGAACUGUACAACACUUUUUCCUUAGAAAGCAUGUCAGGCAACUCUGCAGGUCUGUUCUUCAGUGGUCAAGUGGGCAGAACUCUGGGGAGUGUUUUGAGGUUCUGAAGUAGGUUCAAAUGACCAUCAGUUGCAAGUGACCAAGUGCGCGCGCAGGUUUAUUUUUACUGUCAGAUGUACAACGCACUCACUCCCAGCCAUGGCAAUGCACAGGCAUCUUCAGCUGACGCCAUUCAACAGCAGCAGUAGUAGGCAUGCCAUGUAUGUUAGGUAAUGUUUGUUUAGGUUAAGUAUUGCUACACACAUAGCUUAGGCUAAGUAACGCUAGGUUAGAUUAAUGUCCUUAAGGUGGAUUCAGCAGGGGCAAAGGCCCCUGGUUAUGUAAUGCUACAUGUAGAUUAGGUUAGGUUAGGUAAUGCUACAUGUCUUUUAGAUUAGGUUAGGUUAGAUAUUGCCAGAUGUCAGGUAAUGCUAGAUUAGAUAAGUGUCCUUAAAAGGGGAUCCAAGGGAGUGUGUGCAUUGCCAUGGGUGGGAGUAAAUGAGCCAUACGUCUGGCAGUGAAAAUAGGGCUGCACAUGCACUUGGUCACUUAAAACUAGCUGGUCACUAAAACCUAUGACAGCACCUUGGAGAACUGAAGAAGACACCUUAUGUUGUAUGAUAUUUAAUGUUUCUGUGAUCUCCAUGUUUGAGUUAUGUUGUAAGUGCAUAGAAUGUGUUAUUUGUUAAAAUGUAUAUAUAUUAAGUUCAAUGUGUGUGAUUACUUUGUUGAGUGCUUUGUGAUUGUUCUGCUGCCUUUGCUUGGUGGUGGGGUUCUUCCCUAUUUCAGGUCAUUGCUGAUUUUUCUAAACAUUGCACCACCCUCUGCUCUUCUCGAUACUUCGUGUAAUUCUAUUUCGUUGUUUAUUAAGUGGUUAUAUAUUUGUCUGAAUAUGCGGCCUUUGUGAAAGUCCAUUUGUAGUGCAGCUGGUCUCAGUGGCUGCAUGGUAUUUAAGGCCACCCACUGCCUCCCUCAUGCAGUGUCAUGGCUUGUGACUGGUUGUUCUGCAGUGCCACUGUUCUCAUGCUGGGUAAGAAUUCCAAGGUUUCUGAUUGCAUGUUGAAGCUUGGCUCAUCUUCCUCGAGGAAUCUUCUUCAUUUCUCAUAAAGGCUUAGAUUUUUAGCUUCUUGAAGUUCUGCCCUUUUGACCACUGAAGAACAGAACAGAACAGUGGAGUUGCCUGCCAUGCUACCCAGGGAAAAAGUGUCGUACAAUUCAUUGGCAACGUGCCCCUCACAGAGACCGCAGCAGCAGUUUAUGCUAUUUAGAAGUGAAUAACUGAUCUUCCAGGACUUGUAAUAUUAGACGUCUUCUUCAGUUAUUCGCAAGUGCCUUAGAAACAGGCAUUUUCUGACGCAUUCCUUUCGUGUAAGUCUCUUGGGAGCUUCGGCCUUACAGCUACCUAGGGCCGCAAGCUUUCCAAGGGCUUGCGAUAACUGUGGGCGGGCAGCAAGGCAGAGCGAAAAACACAGCCACUUGCAAGCAGCAAUGCAAACAGGUGAAAAUAAGCUGAUGUACAUGUAAUGUUUUCAAUAAAAUUUCGAACAUACAGAAUUAUCUGCAUACAAGUCAGUCAUGAGUGAAAACCAUUAUUAAAUUUGUGUAGCGUGAAUUGUUUCAUAUAAAGUGAAUAGUAACAUUUGUUUACAAUGAGCAUGGAGCAGUCAAGCCUUCCAACGGCGUGCAGCAUUCUGGCAGGGCCUUCCUGUCUUGGGCCAUGACUUCUAACACAUCAUUGUUCAGUGUGGCUUGUAUUUGCACAGGUGAUGGAGUAAGGCAGGUCUGAAGAAGUGAUACAUGGGAUAGAAUGCUCCCUUAACAUGGCGGAAUCUGAACAGCAGGGCAAGGGAACCUGCUCUCGCCCCUGCGGAUGACGUGACCUGAACAGCUGCUAGACGUACUACCUACAUCACAGUUUCUUCUUGCUCCAUAAUCGCUAAUAAUAGACCAUAUUUCGUUAUACUAUAAUACUUAUAGUCUGUCUAGACAUAAUAAGAUAAUAAAUAGGGAUAUAUAAGAGAUGAAACACCCAAAACGCGGAAAUAGUUUGAAAAUAUCACCAAAGAGAUGCUUUGACAUUUCAUUUCAUAACUGCCGUAUGUACAGUGCCAAACAGCAAGUUUUACAGGUUAUAUUGGACAACAUCAGGCAUCAUUUUGAUCUGGAAUGUCUUCACCAGGCUACGACAUAUAACUAUAUGCCUGUUCUUUAAAUGAAACAGCCAUUAAACAAAAAUAACCAA